AUUGAACGCUGGCGGCAUGCCUUACACAUGCAAGUCGAACGGUAACAGGUUAAGCUGACGAGUGGCGAACGGGUGAGUAAUACAUCGGAACGUGCCCAGUAGUGGGGGAUAGCCCGGCGAAAGCCGGAUUAAUACCGCAUACGACCUAAGGGUGAAAGGGGGGGAUCGCAAGACCUCUCGCUAUUGGAGCGGCCGAUGUCAGAUUAGCUAGUUGGUGGGGUAAAAGCUCACCAAGGCGACGAUCUGUAGCUGGUCUGAGAGGACGACCAGCCACACUGGGACUGAGACACGGCCCAGACUCCUACGGGAGGCAGCAGUGGGGAAUUUUGGACAAUGGGCGCAAGCCUGAUCCAGCCAUGCCGCGUGCGGGAAGAAGGCCUUCGGGUUGUAAACCGCUUUUGUCAGGGAUGAAAUCCUUUGGGUUAAUACCUCGGGGGGAUGACGGUACCUGAAGAAUAAGCACCGGCUAACUACGU
RNAcentral lists this ribosomal RNA (476 nucleotides) under uncultured bacterium. RNAcentral's name for it is "partial 16S ribosomal RNA". It matches the Rfam family "Bacterial small subunit ribosomal RNA", at positions 30 to 506 of the family's 1533-position model. The record is from RNAcentral.